RNAcentral lists this ribosomal RNA (498 nucleotides) under uncultured bacterium. RNAcentral's name for it is "partial 16S ribosomal RNA". It matches the Rfam family "Bacterial small subunit ribosomal RNA", at positions 30 to 523 of the family's 1533-position model. The record is from RNAcentral.
AUUGAACGCUGGCGGCAUGCCUUACACAUGCAAGUCGAACGGUAACAGGUCUUCGGAUGCUGACGAGUGGCGAACGGGUGAGUAAUACAUCGGAACGUGCCUAGUAGUGGGGGAUAACUACUCGAAAGAGUGGCUAAUACCGCAUGAGAUCUACGGAUGAAAGCAGGGGAUCGCAAGACCUUGUGCUACUAGAGCGGCCGAUGGCAGAUUAGGUAGUUGGUGGGAUAAAAGCUUACCAAGCCGACGAUCUGUAGCUGGUCUGAGAGGACGAUCAGCCACACUGGGACUGAGACACGGCCCAGACUCCGACGGGAGGCAGCAGUGGGGAAUCUUGGACAAUGGGCGAAAGCCUGAUCCAGCAAUGCCGCGUGCAGGAUGAAGGCCUUCGGGUUGUAAACUGCUUUUGUACGGAACGAAAAGCCCCGGGUUAAUACCCUGGGGUCAUGACGGUACCGUAAGAAUAAGCACCGGCUAACUACGUGCCAGCAGCCGCCGCCG